RNAcentral lists this long non-coding RNA (2440 nucleotides) under Olea europaea subsp. europaea. The record is from RNAcentral. Lineage: Eukaryota; Viridiplantae; Streptophyta; Magnoliopsida; Lamiales; Oleaceae.
UGAAAAUAAGAUGAUUCCUCAAGUUUGAUACAAAAAUACAACCUUCAAAACAAUUACAAAUUGACUACAGAAUAUGUAAAAAGUUUAACCACGUUGGCUUGACAAUUGAACUAGCAAAAACCAAUAGUUUCAAUAGCAUGGAAUUUUCUAAGAGUCCAAGUGAGUCAACUCUAGAUUUUUAACAAUAUAUUUAUAUGUAGAGGGCCAAAUUUACAUGGGAAAAAAUGGAAUGAUGAAUGACAAAUAUAAAAGGAAGAUGAUGAAGCAACUUUAAAUAACAGAUCUAGGUUUUGAACUGGAGUUGCUUUCUCUUUACUGGAGCUGGGGCUCAAACUGGACAACAAUAUAAAAAGUUAACUCUUGUUGAAAUUCUUUAAACUGCGUAAUGGUAUAGACUGCUUGAAAUUGCUUUUCCAUCUCAAAACAUGUUGCACAAGGCACAAUUUGGGAAAAGGACUUAAAAUCGGCCUGGAACUCCUUGUCACUUCUCAAUGCUCGUUCGUAUUGUUCUACAAAUUACUUCAACGAGGUUUUUGAAUGCACGUAUCCAUAAAAAAAUGCAUUCAUACUCUCCGAACAUUAGGUUUGUUAACAUCCCUACCCAGAAUGUGGUCUUUAAAUAACAUGGAAGGUGACGAUCCCUAUUUUCGUACUCUCGAUAACCAAUUACUAUCAUGCAAGUCAUAUGUGUCAAGCAUCGAUCUCCAACCUUGUUUGAAUUCUUCAACAAUAUCUGAAUCAAAUACCAAUCUAUGUAUAGCAGCGAAAAUCAAGCUUUCUUAAGUGUGGUAGCCAAAAUUUUCUGCCAGUUUCUUUAUAAUGUGCCACAAACACCAUCUGUACUUUGCUGUAGGAAAAACAAUCUCAAUGGCAUUUUACAUUGCCCGAUCUUGAUCAGUAAUGAUUCUACUAGGAGCUUUACCAUGCAUGCACUCAAGCCACGUCCUGAAUAACCACACAAAAGUCCCUAUGUCCUCAUUCGAUAACAACCCACAGUCGAGCAGUGUACUUUGUCCAUGAUGAUUUACCCCAAGAAAGAGGGCAAAGGGCAUGUCGUACUUGUUUGUGAGGUACGUAGUAUCCGAAGUGACAACAUCAUCGAAUUCUUUGUAAGCUUGUCUGCAUCUAUUAUCUGCCCAAAAAAUAUUCUUUAGUCGUGACUCAUCGUCUAAAUCCAUACUAAAGAAAAAUCUUGAGCACUGUGCCUGUAUUUUUGAAAAGUAUGCAUGUCACGCGAUGGCAUCUCCUUCUCCAACGCAUAAUCGUCUCACUUCUUCAACAUAAUUUCGGCAAUCCCUCUCCACAAAAGUCGUAUUCUCAUAUCCACCAACUUUCACAACUGAUUGUAACUCUUGUGUAAGGGAAUUCCUGCCAUAUCAUUCACUUCGAGUUUUCGCCUCACGCUCGCACUUAAACUUUGGUUGCAUCGGUACAAUCUAGACUUCGAAGGACUCGUGUUAUGAUUAUGCUUGAGGUACACUUUGUUAAUUCUCCAAAUUCCAAGAUUAUCUGACGAUGUGGUUAUUCUUGCUUUACAAUCUGUCUGACUUGUUGGUUUCAUGGAACCGCCUGUAGCAUAAUUUCUUCGACCUUCACGACUACAUGUGAACGUCACAUAUCUCACAACUCCAUCGUCACUCUUUUUUGAAUUCCUUUUUCGAAUUGGAAAAGCCUACCGUGUAAGUAUAUCUUUUAUAGAACUCCAAUAUUUGUCUCUCAUCAUUAAACAUCAUGCCCACUUCAGGCAGAGUCGCAACAUCUCCUCCUAUGUUCUCAUUGCCCAAUAUGUUCAAAUUAUCCCGCAUAUUCUCGUCAUUACAAUCGACCAACAAAUCAUGAUUGUCAUCUUCCAUUAUUUCUUUUCUUGAGUAGCGUAAAAAAUGAGAGAUGUAUAAGUUAGUAGUGCUCGUUAACAUCAUAACUGUACAUAUUUAUGUACAGAAAACAACAAAGAUAUAUGCAUGGAGACAAUCAAAAUUGCAAUUUCCAGUGCAGCCAAAUGAAUAUCAAAACAAAGCCAAUUCUGUGGAAUUUAAUUUUAAGCCCAAUAUUUGGAGCACCCUAAUUUUCCAACACAGACUAUGUACAAAAGACAAUUAAAACAGAUCAUUCACAAAAGAAGUUAGAACCUUAAACAAAACUCAACAUACAGCAUGCAAAACUGAACACAAGUUUAAGCUAACCCUCCUCCAUUACUGCCCGGUCAAUUGCUUACCCACCCAAUAAACAAAAUAGCAACCAUUACAAUGGCAAAGCACAAACGAGAACAAUUUAUGUAAGCAAGACUUAUACUUUAUGCUCAAGAAGAAAUCCAAAAAAACGAAGAUGCAAAAAUGAAGCGAGUAAUAAAAUGCGAAUAUUUUUUGGCAGCCAUGAAUGAGGGUUAGGACAGCCAUGAAUGAGGUGCUUUUAUGUGUGUGGAGACACAGACAAGCUAAGA